Molecule: ribosomal RNA, 777 nt
Filed under: uncultured Neocallimastigales
Lineage: Eukaryota; Fungi; Neocallimastigomycota; Neocallimastigomycetes; Neocallimastigales
Description: partial large subunit ribosomal RNA
Rfam family: Eukaryotic large subunit ribosomal RNA
Source: RNAcentral
UAUCUCUGUAGAGUCUGCAUAUCAAUAAGCGGAGGAAAAGAAACUAACAAGGAUUCCCUUAGUAACGGCGAGUGAAGCGGGAAGAGCUCAAAUUUGAAAUCUUCAAGGUUUUACCUUGACGAAUUGUAGUUUAAAGAGGUGUUUUCUGUUGAAGUUUCGGUAAAAGUUCUUUGGAAUAGGACAUCAUAGAGGGUGAGAAUCCCGUAUUUGACCGUUAUUUCCUCUAGCUGUGUGAUACACUUUCAAAGAGCCGGAUUGUUUGGGAAUGCAGUCCAAAAUGGGUGGUAAAUUUCAUCUAAAGCUAAAUAUUGGCGAGAGACCGAUAGCGAACAAGUACCGUGAGGGAAAGAUGAAAAGAACUUUGAAAAGAGAGUUAAACAGUACGUGAAAUUGUCAAAAGGGAAGCGUUUGACACCAGUGUUGUUUUUCCGAAAAUCAAUUACGAAUGGCUUGAUUCUGUGUUGUAUUGACCUUAUCAGCUUUCUUCACUUUUUUCGAGUCUUUCUUAAUGCACUUUUCGGUUAACAAGUCAACAUCAAUUUCUUUUGUUGUAAAAGAGUACUCGGAAGGUGGCUUUCUUUUCGGAGAAAGUGUUUAUAGCCCUAUACUUCUACAAUCGGAGAGAUUGAGGUCUGCAGCGUAGAUCCUUCGGGGUUAGAUACACUUGUGCUAAGUUGUAGCUUAUCAUAGACAACUUGUUGACUAUGUUUAGUCAUGCGGCUUACUCGCUUGUGCUAUUUUACCUACGCUUAGGAUGUUGAACGCGCACAGAGUCUC